RNAcentral lists this ribosomal RNA (159 nucleotides) under Lasiodiplodia parva. RNAcentral's name for it is "5.8S ribosomal RNA". The stretch from base 1 to 130 matches the Rfam family "5.8S ribosomal RNA", at positions 25 to 154 of the family's 154-position model. Rfam says of the family: 5.8S ribosomal RNA (5.8S rRNA) is a component of the large subunit of the eukaryotic ribosome. It is transcribed by RNA polymerase I as part of the 45S precursor that also contains 18S and 28S rRNA. Functionally, it is thought that 5.8S rRNA may be involved in ribosome translocation. The record is from RNAcentral. Lineage: Eukaryota; Fungi; Ascomycota; Dothideomycetes; Botryosphaeriales; Botryosphaeriaceae.
UUCUGGCAUCGAUGAAGAACGCAGCGAAAUGCGAUAAGUAAUGUGAAUUGCAGAAUUCAGUGAAUCAUCGAAUCUUUGAACGCACAUUGCGCCCCUUGGUAUUCCGGGGGGCAUGCCUGUUCGAGCGUCAUUACAACCCUCAAGCUCUGCUUGGAAUUG